GAUGAACGCUGGCGGCGUGCCUAAUACAUGCAAGUCGAGCGAACGGACGAGAAGCUUGCUUCUUUGAUGUUAGCGGAGGACGGGUGAGUAACACGUGGAUAAUCUACCUAUAAGACUGGGAUAACUUCGGGAAACCGUAGCUAACACCGGAUAAUAUUUUGAACCGCAUGGUUCAAAAGUGAAAGACGGUCUUGCUGUCACUUAUAGCUGCAUCCGCGCUGCAUGAGCUAGUUGGUAAGGUAACGGCUUACCAAGGCAACGAGGCAUAGCCGACCGGAGGGGGGGAUCGCCCACACGGGAACGUGACCACGGUCCUUACUCCUGCGGGACGCAGCAGUAGGGAAUCUUCCGCAGUGGGCGGAAGCCUGACGGAGCAACGCCGCGUGAGUGAUGAAGGUCUUCGGUUCGUAAAACUCUGUUAUUAGGGAAAAACAGAUGUGUAAGUAACUGUGCACAUCUUGACGGUACCUAAUCAGAAAGCCACGGCUAACUACGUG
RNAcentral lists this ribosomal RNA (497 nucleotides) under uncultured bacterium. RNAcentral's name for it is "partial 16S ribosomal RNA". It matches the Rfam family "Bacterial small subunit ribosomal RNA", at positions 28 to 507 of the family's 1533-position model. The record is from RNAcentral.